AAGAGGACGAGAAGGAGAAAGAAAAAGAGGAUGAGAAGGAGAAAGAGAAAUACAACGGCGGUUUCCCGUCGAGCCUCCGUUGACGGUGCUUGUUGCCGGCGCCGCGUCUAGGUAAGUUUACAACUUUUUUUUUUGGUUUUCGUUUUUGUUUUUUUAAUUACUUUCAAAUUUGACUUUUAGACCACCACAACCGCAGCCUCCGGCCUCCUCCCUUCCCUCGCCGUGGCUGCUUGUUGUUGCCGGUGCCGCGUCUAGGUCAGUUUUCCCCACUUUUAUUUAUUUUUGUUUAAUAAUAAACCCUUAUUUAUUUAAUUUAUUUUUUUAAUAUUUUGUAGGAUUUGUACAAUUAGAUGGUUUAAUUGUCAAAAAGAAGUGCAGAUCUAAAGGUGGUCAUCAUGGGAGGAGGAAAUAAAGGAGAAUCGUCCAAGAGGAGAAAGACUAAGGGGAAAUCUCAGGUUGUACGUGAUGACGAGGAUGAGUCAAUGGAGGAAGAGGAGGCACAUGAUUUGGGGGCCUCUCAAGAAAUCAUCAAUCGGAGACAGAUUCAUAGGCAUGUACAAAGGCAACAGGAGCAAGAGCAACAGGAGCUACAGGACCCGCAACCUAAUGACUUGCUGGAGUUGGACCCUUCCACACUUUGGU
Chenopodium quinoa (quinoa) is the source of this 642-nucleotide long non-coding RNA. RefSeq lists it as uncharacterized. The transcript has 3 exons. The record is from RefSeq and is a predicted model, not a curated record. NCBI's taxonomy places the organism in Eukaryota, Viridiplantae, Streptophyta, Magnoliopsida, Caryophyllales, Amaranthaceae.